Molecule: ribosomal RNA, 252 nt
Filed under: uncultured bacterium
Lineage: Bacteria
Description: partial 16S ribosomal RNA
Rfam family: Bacterial small subunit ribosomal RNA
Source: RNAcentral
UACGUAGGGCGCAAGCGUUAUCCGGAAUUAUUGGGCGUAAAGGGUAGGUAGGUGGUCUCAUUUGUCUGGGGUGAAAGCCUUGAGCUUAACUCAAGAAGUGCCCCAGAAACGGUGAGACUGGAGUCUUGGAGAGGGUCGUGGAAUUCCCGGUGUAGCGGUGAAAUGCGUAGAGAUCGGGAGGACACCAGAGGCGAAGGCGGCGACCUGGACAAGCACUGACACUCAACUACGAAAGCGUGGGGAGCAAACAGG